ACUGAUCUAAAAUCCGCCAGGCCUUGGCACCUCACUCGACACCCGUCGUACAACAGCUUGCUCCAUGCUCAGAACUCUCCAAACGCCUCCGUCAGCUCCGCCGCGGGCGACACCGCGGCCAUCGUCAGCAACACUCUGUAGCUUUCGCCGUUGUCCGAUCCUGGCCCAGAUUGGUAUUCAGAGCGUUUUAAUCACUUACAUGUCCAAUCAAAUUGGAGAAUUGUUGAACUGCGUGAAUGACAACUGCAUAUGGAAAGUCCAUGCGACCAAGUCGCGAGGCUGAUUAUUUUAUGACAACAAAAUAUGAUAGCCGCCACUCUUGUUCAUCAGAUGCUAAAAAUGGCGGUUCAGUAGAUGCUAAAAAUGGCAGUCAACCACAAGCAAGCAGCUCUCUCAUUGGUGAGUUUGUAAAGUCAAAGUACAAGCGUGUUUUGUGCCAAUGCAAACCGAAAAAUACCAUUGAGGAUGUGCGGAAAGAUCUUGGAGUGGAUAUAAGUUAUUCGACAGCUAGGAGGGUCUUUGAAUGUGCAUUGAAAGAUAUUAGGGUAUGACCACAAGAACUUUCUUCUAAAUGGAGGUCAUGCGAAAGGUGCAAGAAGGAAAGAUUUUCAUCUCAACCAAAAAAAAAAAAAAAAGUCUCAUGGAGAAGAACAGUCUACACGGAAUUGUGGAAAAUGUGGCUCAACUGGUCAUUACCGUAAAACCUGCAACAACGCUAUUACUCUUCAUCUCAAUUUCGAAAGAGUAAUGAAUGGCGUGAAACAAGGGGCUUUAUGGCUUCAGCAACAGGUGAAGCAAAGGGUUGUACAGUGGACAAAAGUACCUUAUCGAAAAUUUGGUGCGACUAUUACUGGUGAUCCUGCUGGUUUUAAUUGGACAUGUCAGUGAUAUACAUCUAUGGGGGACACUUGAAAUGUUCACUUUAGUGUCUGCAUAUGGCCUGUUCUUUGAUGGGGACCAACGGCCUGGCUCUUGCUGGAGCUUCUGUGGGAAAAUUGCUGUAUGCCAACUACGGCAUUGGCCCAUUGAUCUAUAUUUCAUAUUUUGAGAGAUUGAAGCAGAGCUCAAACCAUUUGGGAGACAUCAGAGUGGCAAACCAGUUUGUUACUCCUUUUAUUUGGAUUAUAAGUCUUGUAUGCUUGUAGUGUGAUAGUCUUGAAGGGAGUAGCCUUUUUAUCUGCACAUGUCGGUAUCUGUCAGAGGUUGGCUGGACGCCACUUCCGCUGUUCUCAAAAACCAAUUGGAAGAACAGGUCUGUCUGGCAUGAGAGCCUCCUGACAUGGGAUGUCAGAAUAUGAAUGUUGAUGCGCCGAGGAGAAUGGCAUCUGGUGGAUUUGGAGCAGUGAAAGUUAUUUAAUCCAAUCUUGGCAGGGCAUAUUGACGCAGAAAUCUGGAGAUACAUUUUGGCUUGCAGUUUCCAAUUUAGAAGAAAAGCACUAAAAGAUGUAUUCAGGUGGACUUCGCUAUUAUUUUCAAAUUGAUGAAGCAAGGUAAUGCUUCCGCUGUCACCCCCUUUGAAGUGCAGAUUUUUUUAUGCAGCAAUUUGAACACUACAUGUUUAUAGAGAGAAGAAUGCAGUGGCAUAUGAGAUAGCAAAUGGAGCUAUAACACUCAUUUGGGAGUCUAAAUUCGACCACGUAAGCAUUCUUAUUGCUGUUUUUCCCCUGUACAGAAUCGUGUUUAGACCUUCAUUGCAUUAUUUUUAUGGAAUCAUUGCAGGAAUCUUACUGCUGCAUUUCUUUUUCUUUCUUUGUCGAUUGGAGGUUGUUCUGUUUAUGCGUAGAUUGCAGAUCAUGAUCAAGGAUGUUAAUGAGCAGUUGCAGUCUUCUGUCAAGACAAGCUAUAGCUUCUCUUUGGAAAUUUAUCAUAUGCGGUGGAGUAUGGCGAGAAUUGGGUGGGAGGAAAUUUUGCUCUCUCUCUCUCUCUCUCUCUCUCUCUCUCUCAUAACGACAUGUCAGGUGAUGAGAGACACAGAAAACGUGAGUGUUUGAACCCACGAUAGCCAAGUUUUCUCACGAAUGAGAGGCACCGGUUGCUUAGAUAGUUACUCGGUUCUUUUUUUAACAUAACCAGAUUAUUAACAAUGUGGUUCGGUUUGGUGACGGUU
This is a long non-coding RNA of Pyrus x bretschneideri (Chinese white pear), 2107 nucleotides long. RefSeq lists it as uncharacterized. The record is from RefSeq and is a predicted model, not a curated record. Lineage: Eukaryota; Viridiplantae; Streptophyta; Magnoliopsida; Rosales; Rosaceae. The transcript is spliced from 5 exons.